Molecule: non-coding RNA, 413 nt
Organism: Ochotona curzoniae (black-lipped pika)
Lineage: Eukaryota; Metazoa; Chordata; Mammalia; Lagomorpha; Ochotonidae
Source: the annotation of a RefSeq genome assembly
GUCAGUGCCUGUCAGGACUCAGCAUGGACAUGAGGGUGCCUGCUCAGCUCCUGGGGCUCCUGCUGCUCUGGCUCCCAGGUGCCAGAUGUGCCACGGUGACCCAGAGUCCAUCCGUGGUGUCUGCAGAUGUAGGGGGCACAGUCACUAUCAACUGCCAGUCAAGUGAGAGUGUUUUGCUCAGCAUUUUUCUUUCCUGGUAUCAGCAGAAACCAGGGCAGCCUGCUAAGUUCCUGAUCUAUGCUGCAACCACUUUAGAGUCUGGGGUCCCCUCAAGGUUCAAGGGCAGUGGAUCUGGAACAUCAUUCACUCUCACCAUCAGCCCGGUGCAGGCUGACGAUGCAGGAACCUACUACUGUCAAGGCGGAUAUGAUUGUAGUGAAGCUGAUUGUACUCCCACAGUGAUACAAACCUGA